Molecule: long non-coding RNA, 703 nt
Filed under: Fukomys damarensis (Damara mole-rat)
Lineage: Eukaryota; Metazoa; Chordata; Mammalia; Rodentia; Bathyergidae
Description: lncRNA (ENSFDAG00000032391.1)
Source: RNAcentral
CCCAGCGGAACGCUGUUUUCUUGUAGGAUGAGGUGCAUGACAGCAGGGUGGUUGCAGUCCUAAGAGGUCAAACGCCCUUUUUCUGAGUCUGAGCAGCUCGGAAAGCGAUGGAGACGAGGGGAAGAAGCUGGCAUAGAGCUGCUUGUGGUGCUGGGAGUGCUCCAGAGGCUGGCGUGUGGGCUGCUGAGGCAGAGGACAGCAGCCCCGGAAGACAAGGGUUACUCUUUCUCUGCCUGGUAGGGGAGGGAUGAAAGGAGAAUUUACACCAGUCCUGUCUUCAUUCUGCCAGCAAAUGUUGAUUAAGCAUCCACACUGGAGGCACUGGGCUAGGCGCUGAGGGAGAUGCAAAACCAAAGCCAGAUCUCUGCCCUCAGGAGACUCACAAUGGGAGGGAGGGCACAGAGCUCAGAAGGGCAGAGUGGAGAAGACAGCAGGAGACUCCCACACCGGGGUUAUCUGCUUGGACACAGGGGCAGGAAUGAGUGUGAGGUCCUUGGAGGCCCCUCCUACCCUGGAAAUCGGUGUCUGAGGCCGGAUGUGGCCUUCCUGGGACCUAAGUACCAUUAGUCAAGGGGAUGAAUCCCAGAAGUUUGGGUCCCAUCAGCAGGAAGGGGCAGGCGCAGGCCCUCAGGGAAAAGUACUCUCCAGAGGAGGACUGUGGGGCAGGUAUGAUUUACUUUCGCCUCUUCCUCCUUCUCCUCCU